UUUUACCUGGUUUGAUCCUGCCAGUAGUCAUAUGCUUGUCUCAAAGAUUAAGCCAUGCAUGUCUAAGUACAGGCCGAAUUAAGGCGAAACCGCGAAUGGCUCAUUAAAUCAGUUAUGGUUCAUUGGAUCUUACCUUGUCCUACUUGGAUAACUGUGGUAAUUCUAGAGCUAAUACAUGCGAGCAAGCCCCGACCGGCGACGGGAAGGGCGCUUUUAUUAGAUCAAAACCAAUCGGGCUCUUCGGGGCCCGUACCCCAGUGGUGACUCUGAAUAACUUUGUGCUGAGCGCAUGGUCCUGGUACCGGCGCCGAAUCCUUCAAGUGUCUGCCUUAUCAGCUUUCGAUUGUAGGUUAUGCGCCUACAAUGGCUAUAACGGGUAACGGGGAAUCAGGGUUCGAUUCCGGAGAGGGAGCCUGAGAAACGGCUACCACAUCUAAGGAAGGCAGCAGGCACGCAAAUUACCCACUCCCGGCACGGGGAGGUAGUGACGAAAAACAACGAUGCGGGACUCAUCCGAGGCCUCGCAAUCGGAAUGAGUACACUUUAAAUCCUUUAACGAGGAUCUAUUGGAGGGCAAGUCUGGUGCCAGCAGCCGCGGUAAUUCCAGCUCCAAUAGCGUAUAUUAAAGUUGCUGCGGUUAAAAAGCUCGUAGUUGGAUUCGAGUCACGGAGCGAGGGUUCACCGCCCGGUGCUUACUCUCCGCCAUCCGGACGUUGAUGUCGGCGUGGCACGGGGUGCUCUUCACCGAGUGUCCCGGCGCCGCCGACGAGUUUACUUUGAAAAAAUUAGAGUGCUCAGAGCAGGCCGUUCCUGACGCGCCUGAAUAGUUGUGCAUGGAAUAAUGGAAUAGGACCUCGGUUCUAUUUUCCGUUGGUUUUCGGAACCCGAGGUAAUGACUAAUAGGAACAGUCGGGGGCAUUCGUAUUGCGACGUUAGAGGUGAAAUUCUUGGAUCGUCGCAAGACGAACUACUGCGAAAGCUUUUGCCAAGAAA
RNAcentral lists this ribosomal RNA (993 nucleotides) under Vejdovskybathynella sp. 1 BAD-2017. RNAcentral's name for it is "SSU rRNA". It matches the Rfam family "Eukaryotic small subunit ribosomal RNA", at positions 1 to 965 of the family's 1831-position model. Lineage: Eukaryota; Metazoa; Arthropoda; Malacostraca; Bathynellacea; Bathynellidae. The record is from RNAcentral.